CGGCACCACACUUCCCGCAACAUCUACUCCGGUACCUGACACGGCCGGGGAGA
Regulatory RNA element from Nocardioides sp. Root151, 53 nucleotides. It matches the Rfam family "L17-Actino-Proteobacteria ribosomal protein leader". The record is from Rfam. NCBI's taxonomy places the organism in Bacteria, Bacillati, Actinomycetota, Actinomycetes, Propionibacteriales, Nocardioidaceae.